This is an RNA transcript of Galleria mellonella (greater wax moth), 2520 nucleotides long. It is a transcript of the gene named inositol 1,4,5-trisphosphate receptor-like, with no coding region annotated. The transcript is spliced from 5 exons. NCBI's taxonomy places the organism in Eukaryota, Metazoa, Arthropoda, Insecta, Lepidoptera, Pyralidae. The record is from RefSeq and is a predicted model, not a curated record.
GUAAUCAUUCAUUCCGACUCGUUCGUUCGAGCUCUCUCGCUGCCGCCACUCAGCACGUAUAACAUGUCGUCUCUUUAUAUAUAGUUUAAAAUAAUAAAUAUUCAAUAAUACCAAGUGCCUUUGGACUUUACAUCCACUACAACCUGCAUACCAUAGUAAGCCUACCCUAAUGGGAGAUAGGCGUGACAGAUAUGUAUGUAUGUAUAUUUGGCAAUAUAAUUCAAAAUUAUUAAUUAAAAACUGCGAUACGAUGCAAAUCACAAUGAUUAAUAUCAACAAUUCAUCGUGUACUUAAAGAUUUACUCUUAUAAAAGGAAUUGUUACUAACUUGGACUAGUGAUUUCAUUGCUAGUAAACUUGCAUGUAUAAAAUUUAUUUAAAUGGGAAAUCUGCUUAUAUUUAUGGUAACCUGUUUUAGUCCUUUAUUUCAACUUAGUAAAGAUUUAUACAUUACGUACGUAUCUAUUUAGACAGUUGUCACUUACUCUCCACAUGAUAGAUAUGACUGAUAAAAAGAAAUUUAAUGUAAAAUAUACGUAAAUUUCUCAUAGUGUUAAUAAUUUGCAUGCCGACAUAGAAGCAGAAUGUAUAUGGGAAAUGUAAAUGUAAAACUACCUUCAUUAAAGCAAAAUAAAUUAAUUUUAUUUCGCAAUCUUAUAUUAAUCUUUGAGUAUAAAUAAAAACAGUUUUUGUAUCUUUUAUCAAAUUUACAUCUGAAUUCAGUUACUACUUAUUAUUAAUAUUACAGUCAAUAUGAUGAUGAUUUUAAAGAGUUAUUUUACAAUAAAUGUAGAUUAGGGCUAUUCCUAUUCUCCACUAGAUGUAGUGACGACCUUAAAUGCAUUGCAGGGAGUCAAUGGAUGCAGGUGGCUCAGGAGCUUUCUUUAUGGCAGUCUAUGGGAGGCUUAUGUCCUGCAGUAGACGAAUAAUGGCUGAAAUGAUGAUGAUGAUGAUCAGGGCUAUUCCUAAUAAAUACCUACCUGGAAUUCUUUUUCUGCGCUUAAUAUGCUAUGAAUAUAUAAAAAUACAUUGUCUUAUGUAAACUGUAAUAAUAUGUAAUAUGUUUGUGAAUAUAAAACUUAGUUCUUAGUGUAAAACGUUUUAAAAAAUAAAAAAAUGUUUAUUACAAAAAAGAUUGUAUAAUACACUAAAUACUUUUUAACUUUUAAGAAAAUCAUUGAUUGAUUGAUACAUAAAGUGUAAAUUUUGACGUUAUAAAAAAUACCUACAAAAUUUCUAGUAUUGAUUAUAAAAAAAAUAUUAGUAUUAAGAGAAUUAUGGGAAAUCAGCAUACAAGAGGCUAUUUACCGGAUUUUACAGGAUAUAACUAUGCCGGUGAUAGAAAAACCAAGAGUAGAAGUAAAUCAAUUAUCUACACUGAACCACAUAAUAAAAAACUAAGAAAAAUAGGCAAGUCAAAACCUGCCAAAGUAACUAGAAACAGUGAAAAUAAAAAAAAUAGAUUGCUAUUGAAAGGAGAUAUUCCAAUUAUAUUGGGUAUUUUAAAUUUAGAAUAUAACUACCCGUUGCAAAUACGUAGAAAACAUAGCCACAUACAACAUUGUUAUUCGGAACACAAACUAAGAAGACCAUGCCAUCGAUUUUGUCAAAGAAUUCAAUCGUAUCCUUGUGCGUCGUAUUGUUUUGAAUGUAACAAAAAAUCUGUAAAAUAACAGAGUAAAUAUUUUAAUGAACUAUACUUUUAAUGAUGUACUUAUUUUGUUUUUGAUACUCUUGUAAUUCGUCAAUUAUUAACAAUAAAAUGUGGGAAUUUAAUUUACACUGACAUUUAUUAUUGGUAAAAUGUAAUGUUGUUGCGGCAACACCGCACAGUGGCGCGCCUUCGUACGAGGUGAACGUGUUUCGCUCGUCGUGUAUCAUUGGAAAUCAAAGUAUUCAUGUUUCUUUUGUAAUUAUUGCAUUAAACCAUUAUUAAUCCUAUUUGUGACGUUUUAGUGAUUAUGUGUUCUUAUCUUAUGAGUGGUCGGAGUAUAUGAUAAGGGUGUUGUUGCAUGGUGGGGGUAAGGAAACGGUGUCAACAUGGGAGACAGCUUCCUUCAUCUGGGGGACAUUGUCUCCCUGUAUGCAGAGGGCACUGUAUCAGGAUUCCUCAGUACUUUGGGGCUGGUAGAUGACAGGUGCGUAGUCUGCCCGGAGGCAGGCGACUUGACUGAUCCACCCAAAAAGUUCCGAGAUUGCCUUUUCAAGAUAUGCCCUAUGAACCGAUACUCCGCUCAAAAGCAGUUCUGGAAUACUGCGAAGCAAUCGGCUAACUCUAACACCGACACCGGUCUGCUGAAGAGGUUACACGUAAGUACUCGUAUACCAUAAGGAAGACUUAUACCAGACAGAGAGAGAGUCGUUUGCUUGGGUACCUAUGUCUCAUUCGUGUUUCUACCGUGAAGCAGUUGUGUUUGCAUGGCUGUGUUUCGGUUUGAAGGGUGGAAUAUGGCAGUGAAUUUACGGGGUACAGAGGAAUAAUACCUGAGUCCUCAGGAAUGGCAACGCAUGGGGGGUAUC